Molecule: ribosomal RNA, 104 nt
Filed under: Psilocybe cubensis
Lineage: Eukaryota; Fungi; Basidiomycota; Agaricomycetes; Agaricales; Agrocybaceae
Description: partial 28S ribosomal RNA
Rfam family: Eukaryotic large subunit ribosomal RNA (bases 49-104)
Source: RNAcentral
UUGUGCUGCUUCUAACAGUCUUUUUAUUAAGACAAUACAAUGACAAUUUGACCUCAAAUCAGGUAGGACUACCCGCUGAACUUAAGCAUAUCAAUAAGCGGAGG